RNAcentral lists this ribosomal RNA (564 nucleotides) under Triticum aestivum (bread wheat). RNAcentral's name for it is "partial small subunit ribosomal RNA". Lineage: Eukaryota; Viridiplantae; Streptophyta; Magnoliopsida; Poales; Poaceae. The record is from RNAcentral.
AUGGCUUCAUCCGGUUCCAGGACGAGGCCGCCGUGCGCGGAUGAAGAGGACAUGCCGAAGACGUGGAUGGAGGCCAGUUUGGACAAGGAGAAGGAGAAGGAUGUGCCCACACCACCAUGUUGGUGUGGUGAUGUUUGCAAGCUGAAGGUGUCCACGGACCGCAAGAAGUCAUGGACAGAAGGUAGAAGGUUUUUCGUGUGUCCCAACUAUGCACAUGAUCGUCGAAGGCCAACUAACGCAUAUGACAUACCACCGUCGCCUCCUCCACUUUGCAAGUACUUCACUUGGUUAGAUCACGAGGUACCAAAAGAUGUCCAAGAGGACCAACAUCGAGAUUACUUACGGAGGCAGCGCCUGUUUGAGGAGUCCUUUGCACGGGGAUUGGAGCGGGAGCGUCGUGAGAAGGAGGCUCGUGAGCGCAAGAAGCGUGAGGAAGAGAGGGCACGCAAAGAGAAGGAGGCUCGCCAAGAAGAGAGGGCAAGAAAACUUGCAAGGGCUCGCGAUGCACAAGAGGAGGACGAGGCACGUGACAAGAAGGGAAAGUGGCCCCGUAGUACUCAGUAG